This 98-nucleotide small nucleolar RNA is filed under the name Phaethon lepturus (White-tailed tropicbird). The record is from RNAcentral. Lineage: Eukaryota; Metazoa; Chordata; Aves; Phaethontiformes; Phaethontidae.
CAGUCAAAAAGGAGCCGAGAGCGAAGGGUUUUCCUCGACGGUCGCCGCUCAGUUUGAGCCUCCAUAGCUGUCCGGCAACAUUUCGGGAAAAUACACGG